This is a long non-coding RNA of Oreochromis niloticus (Nile tilapia), 2164 nucleotides long. RefSeq lists it as uncharacterized. Lineage: Eukaryota; Metazoa; Chordata; Actinopteri; Cichliformes; Cichlidae. The transcript has 2 exons. The record is from RefSeq and is a predicted model, not a curated record.
ACAGACAUGGUAGAAAAAGUUUCAGAAUGUUCUUGUUUUAUGAUUUAAUGAGGGAUUCCCAUUGCUCAUGAUGUACUUAAUAUUAUUUAUUUAUUGUUGAUAAUCUUUUGUCUCGGAAUGAAUUUGUACUAUGGCAUGUUAUGGUACUACCAUAAAAGACUUUGUGGUAUAGACAGCAGACACACACAGGUUAACUACAGAUAACUACAGACUGAAUUGCAGCGCAUUGAUUCCCUUUAUUGUGCCUUAUCUGUGUUCUAUGUUUUAUCUAUGCAUGAUUAGAGGUAUUUGUCCUUUCAGCAAAGUCAGAUUUGUUUGAUUUAUUUGUGGUCACACUGAAGGAUAUUUAAGAAUCAUUGGAUAGACUGAUAACCAACCAGAAAUACAGUAGGUUUUAUUUUUGGACUUGGAGCUUUAUGAUCCUGUCAUUGCUUAUUCACAUUUGUCCUCACUCACAUUACACACUAAAUCCUAGAAAUGAAAUUUAUAAACAUAUGAAAUAAAUGCUCAUAUACAGUAAAAAAAACCCUCAAAUACACACAUCCUUAUCGCCCCCUUUACACACUAGUUUCACUUAUAUUCUGUAACCACAUAGAUUCUAUAAAGUCAAUAUUAUUUUGGGAUGUCCACACAUCCCUGUCUUUAAAUACAAGCUGUAUUGUUAAACUGCAUUAUUGUGUGCAAUAAAUCAUUGUAUAAAUUUAAUAAUGUAUGAAAAAAACAGGGCAUCACAAUCCAGUCACAUAGUUCAUGGCAGCAUGAUCUCGGUGCAUGAUCCUGUGUUACCAACCUGACCAACCUGGAUUUUUAUCACAUGGUUCCAAGUCUCGUUGUUUAGUCAUCACAGCGACGUGAUAAUGUGAACCUACAGGGAAUAGUACACUAGCUAGGCUGUUCAUUACUUCCUGACCCAGUGUCAGGGAUCGAGUGAGUCAACAGGGUAAUCCUGUCAAAGUUAAUGAUCGUGAAGGUUCAUAGACCUCAUCAUGACCUUCUUCAAACAUGGUUCGACACGCUGCACAGACCCUGUACAUCCAAAGAAGAAUGUGCUUUGAGACGCCUGGAGAAGUAUUCCUGAAGAUUACUUAAAGAAAGUAUAAGAAAGCUGCCUGAGAGAGUUCAGAUUGUGUUGAAGAAUAAAGAUGGUCAUACCAAAUAUUGACGAUUAUUAGCAUUGUAAAAGCUCUGAUUUUGUCUUAUAUAUUACCUAUUUCCCAUUUUUUAAAACAAAAUGUAAUAAAAUGAAGGAUGACUCCAGACCUUUGCAUAGUAUUGUAUAAACAUUUAUUUUACUCAUCAUUGUCAUGUUAAUAGUAAACGGAGCACAUAGCAUUUCAAAAAGACUGAAAUUCAACACAGUUUAAACAACAACACUUUUUACUGUAUCGAUUUUUUUGUUAUAUUACUGUUGCACAGUUUAAAGAAACUAAAGAAGACAGAUUUUUGGGGUGGUGGGGGGUUGUGUUAGCAUUACAAAGGAACUCGUGUUAAAAAGAAAUUGAUUAAGUUAAUCUUUUUGUUAAAAUCAUUUGAAUUUAUACAUUUUUACACCAUAACAUGAAACAUCAGACACAGCAGUAAAGAGCCCAGAAGGUUAAGAACUUACAAACGAGUUUCUUGUUUUCAGGGCUUCUUACUUCAUUUCACCAAAGGCACAGCAGACAGAUCUGGUGAGAUUUUGUCCUCAGGAAAGAAUAUUGACUUCUCAUAAUGUAGCCUCUUUGUCGACUUACAAAAAAGGCUCUGACUUUCUUCACGAACUUCACCAGCAUAUUUUAACUAGAAGGGUUUUUAACAUCACAGUGAACUUUGCUCAGUUUUAAUCUUUCCACCCAUGGACAUUUUCUUAGAAGAACAUGGACAGCCGGUACCAGAAACCAGGUUGAUAUUCAACCAGGUCUUACUGAUUAGUUUGCAACAGUAAUGCAACAGCGUGAAGCUAGGCUAUUACUUUCUGACCCAGUGACUUAGAUUUGCAGUCUCUCUGAAAAAGAUAGUCUAGUCAAGGUUAAUGAUCUGCAUCUGGAAGCCCACGUCACAAACUUUAUCCAGACCACCGUUAACCAACCGUGAUGGCACCAAUAUAGUUACAUGCAUUUUAAUUUUAGCUUUCCUCAUUACAGUCAUGUUAAUAGUAACUAUAGUGGGAAGGGAAAAAUCAACA